RNAcentral lists this ribosomal RNA (122 nucleotides) under Candidatus Methanofrustulum fimipullorum. Lineage: Archaea; Methanobacteriati; Methanobacteriota; Methanomicrobia; Methanosarcinales; Methanosarcinaceae. The record is from RNAcentral.
CAUGGCGGUCAUAGCCGACGGGAAACUCCUGUACCCAUAUCGAACACAGAAGAUAAGCCGUCACACGUCGUGUACUGUACUAAGGUACGAGAGUCCUUGGGAACUGCAUGAAGCUGCCAUGA